Molecule: RNA transcript, 1805 nt
Organism: Pongo pygmaeus (Bornean orangutan)
Lineage: Eukaryota; Metazoa; Chordata; Mammalia; Primates; Hominidae
Gene: GPR160
Gene name: G protein-coupled receptor 160
Exons: 5
Source: RefSeq, a predicted model, not a curated record
GCCACAGCAGGGUCGCCGCGGGGUCCCGGGGCCGUGCUCCCCUGCCCCUCCCGGGAGCGCGCGGGGCGGGGAGGGGCGGGGCUGGGCGGGGAGGGGCGGGACCAGGCUGGCGAGCUGGGCCCUCGCCCCUCCCUCGGGCAGUCACCUGGGCACGGGCGCUGCAGGUGCCGGGGCCUCAACCUUGCGGAGCCGACAGCCAUCGAUCCUUGGGUGGCCUCGAGGUGGUGGCAGGGCCGCCCCCUGCAGUCCGGAGGCGAACGCACGGACCCGGCCUCCGGAGGCAGGUUCGGCUGGGAGGAACCGCUCCCGCUUCGUCCUACACUUGGGCAAAUGUCUCCGGCUUUCGGCAUUAUGUCUGUACUGAAUAAAAGCAAGCAGCUCCAGCUGUUCGAGGCUGCUCUCUUCUUCAGCCAUUAGUGCCGGGCAGCCCACUAGCUGCUGUUACACUGCAUAUGUGUGUCUGAGUACGCCUUUCUUCAGUUGCUUGGCCAGGGUCUGCGGGACAGACCCAGCAGCUGGUGCCCUGUGUGAGGAAUGCUGCAAUGGAUCGCGACGGAACCCUCAAAAACGAAGAGCUUACUCACAUAGCAUAUUGUUAUAUCAAAAUGAAAUGCAAGGAACCAAAAAUAACAUAAUUGAAGGCAGUAAAAGUGAAACUGAAUAGGAAGAUCAUCAGUCAAGGAAGACCCACUGGAGAGGACAGAAAAUAAAGGAAGCAGUGUUUUAUCAUGUGUAUUUCAGCAGGUCUUCUUGAAAUUUAACUAAAAAUAUGACUGCUCUCUCUUCAGAGAACUGCUCUUUUCAGUACCAGUUACGUCAAACAAACCAGCCCCUAGACGUUAACUGUCUGCUAUUCUUGAUCAUAGUUGGGAAAAUAUUAUUAAAUAUCCUUACACUAGGAAUGAGAAGAAAAAACACCUGUCAAAAUUUUAUGGAAUAUUUUUGCAUUUCACUAGCAUUCGUUGAUCUUUUACUUUUGGUAAACAUUUCCAUUAUAUUGUAUUUCAGGGAUUUUGUACUUUUAAGCAUUAGGUUUACUAAAUACCACAUCUGCCUAUUUACUCAAAUUAUUUCCUUUACUUAUGGCUUUUUGCAUUAUCCAGUUUUCCUGACAGCUUGUAUAGAUUAUUGCCUGAAUUUCUCUAAAACAACCAAGCUUCCAUUUAAGUGUCAAAAAUUAUUUUAUUUCUUUACAGUAAUUUUAAUUUGGAUUUCAGUCCUUGCUUAUGUUUUGGGAGACCCAGCCAUCUACCAAAGCCUGAAGGCACAGAAUGCUUAUUCUCGUCACUGUCCUUUCUAUGUCAGCAUUCAGAGUUACUGGCUGUCAUUUUUCAUGGUGAUGAUUUUAUUUGUAGCUUUCAUAACCUGUUGGGAAGAAGUUACUACUUUGGUACAGGCUAUCAGGAUAACUUCCUAUAUGAAUGAAACUAUCUUAUAUUUUCCUUUUUCAUCCCACUCCAGUUAUACUGUGAAAUCUAAAAAAAUAUUCCUAUCCAAGCUCAUCGUCUGUUUUCUCAGUACCUGGUUACCAUUUAUACUACUUCAGGCAAUCAUUGUUUUACUUAAAGUUCAGAUUCCAGCAUAUAUUGAGAUGAAUAUUCCCUGGUUAUACUUUGUCAAUAGUUUUCUCGUUGCUACAUUGUAUUGGUUUCAUUGUCACAAGCUUAAUUUAAGAGACGUUGGAUUACCUUUGGAUCCAUUUGUCAACUGGAAGUGCUGCUUCAUUCCACUUACAAUUCCUAAUCUUGAGCAAACUGAAAAGCCUAUAUCAAUAAUGAUUUGUUAAUAAAUAUUAUUAAUUAAAA